UCUCAAACAGUAACUUCCUAAUAAUUAAAUACAAAAGCAAUUACUAACUUGCAAUCAAACCUAACACUUUAAGUACGGCAAAUAAUUCUUAAAUUCUAGUACAGGCAAUGGUUACCUCACACAGUAACCCCAAUCCUAAUGUCACCCAUUAACAUGACUCCCUAACGCUGGAAUUUAUAACGGGAUAAGCCAAUAUACUCAAGCGGAACAAUUUGUAGCCUGUAAAUAAUGAGAUAUGUGAAUUUACUCUUUAAGCACCACCAUCAUUUGUCCAAAAGCAUCUAUCCAUCAAUCAAGCAAGAUCAAAUCCCAAACGCAGAAAGGCAAGAUCAUCCAAAUUUCAAUAUAUAACCUGAAACAAAAAAAACUAACACCAAAUCGUUAGAAAUAUUCUAUCUAAAGAAAGCUCAUCCAAAAACAUUAGGACUCUCCACCACGCGCCACCAUCGGAGUUCCCACACGCCGCCUAAAACAACUAGACUUGUCGCCAAGGGCAACAGAGUUAGGAGCGCUUUUACCUGCACAGCACAAAUUUGGCCUCUAUUUCUUUAGCCCUUUCUGGUUUGGCCGAAAAUCAAGUUUACAAGUCCAAUUGGUUGAAGAAACAUGGACAAUUUCUUUGAUAUGCCUUUCUGUCAGUUUCUGGGUUGUUUUCAGGUUGAUUUUUACUAGAAAUCACAUACCAACGGGCUUUGAUACCAAUUGUUGCGAAAAACUCUUUAAAUUAGCGAUUUUCAGGCUCAGUUUACCAGUCUUGACCUUAUCAAACACCCUAAAUCAAUGAUCUAAAAUCACCACUAUUGGCCCAUUCUUUGGUUGCCAUAGAUGUACCUUCAAAGGACAAAUAUAGAGGGUGGUACUAAAGCCACAAAGACAAGAAAGAAGAAAGAGAAAAACCGACUGAAGCACAAAGUAGAUAGCCCUUUUUCACCAAUCAGAGAGAGGCAAUA
RNAcentral lists this long non-coding RNA (950 nucleotides) under Olea europaea subsp. europaea. The record is from RNAcentral. Lineage: Eukaryota; Viridiplantae; Streptophyta; Magnoliopsida; Lamiales; Oleaceae.